Molecule: ribosomal RNA, 253 nt
Filed under: uncultured bacterium
Lineage: Bacteria
Description: partial 16S ribosomal RNA
Rfam family: Bacterial small subunit ribosomal RNA
Source: RNAcentral
UACGUAGGGUCCGAGCGUUGUCCGGAAUUACUGGGCGUAAAGAGCUCGUAGGCGGCUUGUCACGUCGGGUGUGAAAGCCCGGGGCUUAACCCCGGGUCUGCAUUCGAUACGGGCUAGCUAGAGUGUGGUAGGGGAGAUCGGAAUUCCUGGUGUAGCGGUGAAAUGCGCAGAUAUCAGGAGGAACACCGGUGGCGAAGGCGGAUCUCUGGGCCAUUACUGACGCUGAGGAGCGAAAGCGUGGGGAGCGAACAGG